UACGAAGGGGGCUAGCGUUGCUCGGAUUGACUGGGCGUAAAGGGCGCGUAGGCGGUUCGUACAGUCAGACGUGAAAUUCCUGGGCUCAACCUGGGGGCUGCGUUUGAUACGUGCGGACUUGAGUGCGGAAGAGGGUCGUGGAAUUCCCAGUGUAGAGGUGAAAUUCGUAGAUAUUGGGAAGAACACCGGUGGCGAAGGCGGCGACCUGGUCCGAUACUGACGCUGAGGCGCGAAAUGCUAGGGGAGGCGAACGGG
RNAcentral lists this ribosomal RNA (255 nucleotides) under uncultured bacterium. RNAcentral's name for it is "partial 16S ribosomal RNA". It matches the Rfam family "Bacterial small subunit ribosomal RNA", at positions 524 to 776 of the family's 1533-position model. The record is from RNAcentral.